This is a small nucleolar RNA of Pistacia vera, 107 nucleotides long. Lineage: Eukaryota; Viridiplantae; Streptophyta; Magnoliopsida; Sapindales; Anacardiaceae. The record is from RefSeq and is a predicted model, not a curated record.
AACCUAUGGUGAAUACACUUUCGUAAGAGAUCCUUAUACCUUUCCCAUGCUUCAUACAGUGACUCAAUGUUUUGCUAGAAAAAAUUAGUAAUGUCACUUCUCAUCUU